This is an RNA transcript of Raphanus sativus (radish), 1800 nucleotides long. It is a transcript of the gene named protein HEAT INTOLERANT 4, with no coding region annotated. The record is from RefSeq and is a predicted model, not a curated record. The transcript has 15 exons. NCBI's taxonomy places the organism in Eukaryota, Viridiplantae, Streptophyta, Magnoliopsida, Brassicales, Brassicaceae.
AAAAAGAAACCCUAAUUUCUAUUUAGAAGAGGCGUUGCUUUGACGCAGGACACAGACAACGUGGAUGAAAUAGAUAUAUAAAAUAAACAAAACCCUUAAAAUCUGAAAUUCGAAAUUCCGGAUCCACCGCCACAGAGCCCUAACUUCUCUAUCUCUCCGUCGGCGAAGCACUAGUAGCGUUUCUUCUCAAUCUGUGCGAUGAAGAAAGGAGCGAAGAGAAGGGGUGCCUCCAAAGCAGGAGGUGGCCGCAAAGGUGCUGCUGUCGCGGAGAGACAGAACGACGAGGUGAUUGCCGAGUCUCUCGAGGCGUCGACGCAGGAGGAGAGUCAACAACAGCCUAAGGAGGCAGUCGCCGAGGAGAACGGAGAAGAGGUCAAGGAGAAUCAGGAAGAGGAAGUUAAACCGGAGGAGCCUGAUUCGUCGAAGCAGGUCGAUGUCGCUUCGUCUUCUCAGCAAAAGGAGGAGGAGGAUGUAGAGGUAGAUAAGAAGAAACCUGCUGGUCGAGGUGGUGGUAAGCGAAAGAGGACAGCGAAGAAGGAUGUCGAAGUGAAGGAGGAGAAGAAACCUGCUCCCAGAGCUAAGAAAGCUCGAGUGGCUAAGCCACAGGAAGAGCCUGAGUACUUCGAGGAUGAGCGUAAUCUGGAGGGUUUGUGGAAGGCUGCAUUUCCAGUGGGAACUGAGUGGGACAAGUUGGAUGCAGUUUAUCAAUUCAAUUGGGAUUUCAAAAAUCUUGAAGAAGCAUUGGAGGAAGGUGGUUUGCUCCACGGGAAGAAGGUCUUUGUUUUUGGCUGUACGGAACCUCAGUUAGUCCCUUACAAAGGCGCAAACAAGAUUGUCCUUGUCCCGGCCGUUGUUGCUGUUGAGUCACCCUUUCCACCUUCUGAUAAGAUAGGAGUCACGUCGGUUCAGAGAGAGAUUGAGGAAAUCCUUCCAAUGAAGACGAUGAAAAUGGACUGGCUUCCUUACAUUCCGUUUGACAAAAGAGGUAGACAAGUUGAUAGGAUGAACUUUCAGAUUUUUGUCAUGACCUGUACACAGAGGAGAGCUGCUCUCAGACAUAUGAAGGAAGAUCGUGUUAAGAAGUACGAGUACUGCCUUCCAUAUUUCUAUCAGCCAUUUAAGGAAGAUGAACUCGAACAGAGUACUGAGGUCCAAAUAAUGUUCCCCUCUGAACCGCCGGUUGUAUGUGAGUUUGAUUGGGAGUUUGACGAACUUGAGGAAUUUGUUGAUAAACUGAUUGAAGAGGAAGCCUUAUCUGCAGAGCAAAAGGAUGAGUUCAAAGAGUAUGUCAAAGAGCAAGUUCGAGCUGCAAAGAAAGCUAAUCGAGAGGCUAGAGAGGCCCGAAAGAAAGCAAUAGAAGAAAUGAGCGAAGAUACUAAGCAAGCUUUUCAAAGCAUGAAGUUCUACAAAUUCUACCCUCAGCCUUCACCAGAAACACCAGAUGUCAGUGGCGUCAAGUCGCCGUUCAUCAACAGAUACUAUGGAAAGGCUCAUCAAGUCCUUUGAUAUCUCAAAUCUUGAGAACCCGGAAUAGCUUUUCUUGGCCGCUUCAAUAGCAGUGAAACUUAUAUUUAAUCAGGACGGUGUUGCCGCGUUGCACUUCUCCGUCACGUAUCGACGUUGCGUCACACGAAGAAGGUGGGUUUGGUACGAAUUUUCUGAAGAAAGGAAAAAAAAAAGACAGAACGACUCCACGACAUGCCAUUGUCUUUUCCAGUCUGUUUCUUUUACUUAUCUGCAAACUAAUCAUAUUCCUUCCACCAUGUCUUCUUUUUCUUCUAUAUAAAUAUAUUUCUAAUU